Molecule: long non-coding RNA, 1070 nt
Organism: Notothenia coriiceps (black rockcod)
Lineage: Eukaryota; Metazoa; Chordata; Actinopteri; Perciformes; Nototheniidae
Exons: 2
Source: RefSeq, a predicted model, not a curated record
AGUGCAUUUUGCAUGAUAGGUCCCCUUUAAAUGACUGAAUUUAUUGGAAAAUUGGUCUUGAAUACUACUGUGUAAUAUAUUUGAACAUAUAUAUUUAACAAGUACAUUAUAAGACAAGCACACGUUUCAUUUGUGGGCCAUAUUCCAUUAUACUUUUUGAAUUUAAAGAUAACAAUGAGUAAAAUAAUUAAAGUUCAUGUCCUUGAGGAAAAAUGGGUGAGUUAUAAAACACCAAACUCAAUGACUUUGUGGUAAGAUGUGACAAUUAAUAUAUUUAUGAGUCAACAUGAAUACUGUGUAAUAUAUUUGAACAUAAUUUAUCUAAGAAGUACAAUACAAGACAAGCAGAAGUUUAUUAUACUUAAGUCAUUAUACUUUUUUAAUUUGCUGAGUGAGGGCCGAUUCAAAAUGGCCCCCAGGCCGUAGUUUGGACACCCCUGCCUUAGUUCUUCCGGUUUAGCACGAGCAGCUUUGUGUACAUUAAUUGCACAACAACAAUGAAUACAGACCCCUCCACCCUCUGUGAUUGGCUGCAGGAUGAAAUUUGACUUCUGAUGUUUUCCAGGUGUGUUUUCACCACCGUUGAUCCUGAAACGGGAGUGAUCUCCAGGAAGGAGCCUCUGGACACACUGAAAAGCUAUCGCCUGUGCAAACCCUCGGAUCAGCACAUCUACCAAAAGUCUCCUCUGUUCGGACAGCUGCUCAGGGUGAAGCAGGUGGGGAUCCUGCAGGUCGGAGACGUCGUGUACAAGAUCAGCCGCUGAUGAAAGGAGAGGGACUAACAUGAUAACUAUUAACACUUUCACGGUAUAAUCCCUGCUGAUCCACACUGAAGAAAGCACUUGUUGAUGAUGUUGUGUGCACGCUGUAUUUUCUAGAGAAGCACAAAUGAGCCACAGAAAUGUUCACUGGCUUUAAAUGGUGCUGUGAUUCACACAUAUGAGGAAAAGCUGUUGAAAGUACAGUAAAAAACAUGUGGUGUUGUUCCAUUUGACUGUAAUACUGUAUAUGUGAUAUCAGUAGUUUUGUAACACUACCGGUGCUUGAAUUAAAGAAUACUUGAAUUGUCA